Prunus avium (sweet cherry) is the source of this 1465-nucleotide non-coding RNA. The record is from RefSeq and is a predicted model, not a curated record. NCBI's taxonomy places the organism in Eukaryota, Viridiplantae, Streptophyta, Magnoliopsida, Rosales, Rosaceae.
UCCCCUCUCUCUCUCUCUCUCUCUCUUAAUAUUGUACCCUUUUAUGUAUAUAUUCCCUUUGGUCUCUUCGAAAUAUAUAGAAGCCAUUCUUCAACACACAAACCCAUUCUUCUCCAAACCCCCCAUACCCUUUUCUUCAUUUCCUUCAUCAACUCAUCAAAAAUGGAAGACGAUAAUUACAUUGACCAUCUCCAUUACCAAGACAAAUCAGAAGAAGAAGAAGAUGCAGAAGAGGCACUCUCUCUAUGCGACCUUCCACUAGACAAUACCCAUGACCAAGUCCACGAAUUCCACGACAUGUCGUCUAAGCACCUACAAGCUCGUCGUUCCUCCUCCGAUCAGUUAUUCGAGUUCUUCAGCGACAUCAGCUCCGACAGCUUCAUGUGUUCCGCCGAAGACAUCAUCGUCUGCGGGAAACUCAUACCCUUCAAACAACACAUGACCGAAGUCCCCAAGGCUCCUCGAAACACUAACGAUUCUCACAAGAAUAAGCAACCAUCUUUUCGAAGGCGGUCCGAGUCGCUUUCCGAGUUACAAAGCUCGGUGACAAGAUCGAGCAGCUCAAAAAACCAGAUCAUGAUGAGGAACAGCCGAUCAUUGGACUAUCGAAAGCUUCACCGGCAAUCUUCGAUGGUGUCGCCGACGCCUGGGGAGAUGGAGAGGAAUUCUUCGGUGAGGAGCGUUGGAAAAUCCGAUAAGGUCAAGAGUGGUAAUAAUAAGCCGAAGUGGUUUUUUCUUAUGUUCGGGAUUGUGAAGUUCCCGGCGGAGAUGGACCUCAACGACAUCAAGAACCGGCAGAUUCGGCGAAACCCGUCCACCACGAUGUUUCCACGACAAGCCGCUGCCGGGAAGGGCUCUUGGAGACUGCUCAAGGCAUUGAGCUGCAAGGACCAUGCAAGUGUUGCCGUAACGACGCCGUUUUGUACACAAGUGUGAGAGGCUCUACUUCUCGUCACGUGCCAUGCAUGUGCUGAGCCAUCAUAACUUUGUUCCCUUAACUCAUGAAUAGGAUUAUACGAUUGAGGUAUUAUUCUUUUUAUCAUACAAUGUAACAUGUUAUAUUAUCGAAUUGUCAAUUCGAAUCACAUCUUUAAACAAAAUCUUAUUUUAUUAACUAUUAAAGAUUGACAGUUUGAUAAUAUAAUAUGUUCGAUCGGUUGUAUGAUAAUAGAAUAUUUUCACUACAAUCAACAUGGAGUUUGGCUUGAUCAAGGUUUGAAUAUGAUAAUGAUUUUGAUUUGCAUGAGAGGGGCAAAAUGGUCACCGGAAGUUAUGGGUUUGCUUGGACGUGGGGAUAAAUUACUAUAAUUAUGGUUGAUGACGUUCCGUAGAAGCAAGGACUAAGUACAGUAGCAAAGCCAUGGUUGACGAUGGUGCCCUCUCUCACUCUAAGUGGUAAUUGAGGAUGAAGCAGGUUUUGGUUGUUAGGUGGCCGGUGCGCCCACAGAAAUGAAAUGAAUGAAAA